RNAcentral lists this ribosomal RNA (784 nucleotides) under uncultured bacterium. RNAcentral's name for it is "bacterial SSU rRNA". It matches the Rfam family "Bacterial small subunit ribosomal RNA", at positions 8 to 796 of the family's 1533-position model. The record is from RNAcentral.
AGAGUUUGAUCCUGGCUCAGAUUGAACGCUGGCGGCAUGCCUUACACAUGCAAGUCGAACGGCAGCACGGGAGCAAUCCUGGUGGCGAGUGGCGAACGGGUGAGUAAUACAUCGGAACGUGUCCUGGAGUGGGGGAUANNNNGCGAAAGCCGGAUUAAUCCGCAUCGCUCUGAGGAGGAAAGCGGGGGAUCGCAAGACCUCGCGCUCAAGGGGCGGCGAUGGCAGAUUAGCUAGUUGGUGGGGUAAAGGCCUACCAAGGCGACGAUCUGUAGCUGGUCUGAGAGGACGACCAGCCACACUGGGACUGAGACACGGCCCAGACUCCUACGGGAGGCAGCAGUGGGGAAUUUUGGACAAUGGGGCAAGCCUGAUCCAGCAAUGCCGCGUGUGUGAAGAAGGCCUUCGGGUUGUAAAGCACUUUUGUCCGGAAAGAAAACCUUUGCCCUAAUACGGCGGGGGGAUGACGGUACCGGAAGAAUAAGCACCGGCUAACUACGUGCCAGCAGCCGCGGUAAUACGUAGGGUGCAAGCGUUAAUCGGAAUUACUGGGCGUAAAGCGUGCGCAGGCGGUCCGUUAAGACAGAUGUGAAAUCCCCGGGCUUAACCUGGGAACUGCAUUUGUGACUGGCGGACUCGAGUAUGGCAGAGGGGGGUAGAAUUCCACGUAGCAGUGAAAUGCGUAGAGAUGUGGAGGAAUCCGAUGGCGAAGGCAGCCCCCUGGGCCAAUACUGACGCUCAUGCACGAAAGCGUGGGGACAAACAGGAUUAGAUACCCUAGUAGUCC